GUCCCUAUAGUGCAACAGAUAGCGCGUUGGACUUCUAAUCCAAAGUUCAUGGGUUCGAAUUCCAAAUGGGAUG
Molecule: transfer RNA, 73 nt
Filed under: Trichonephila clavata
Lineage: Eukaryota; Metazoa; Arthropoda; Arachnida; Araneae; Nephilidae
Rfam family: tRNA
About the family: Transfer RNA (tRNA) molecules are approximately 80 nucleotides in length. Their secondary structure includes four short double-helical elements and three loops (D, anti-codon, and T loops).
Source: Rfam by way of RNAcentral